This is a long non-coding RNA of Capsicum annuum, 4466 nucleotides long. RefSeq lists it as uncharacterized. Lineage: Eukaryota; Viridiplantae; Streptophyta; Magnoliopsida; Solanales; Solanaceae. The transcript is spliced from 6 exons. The record is from RefSeq and is a predicted model, not a curated record.
ACAGUUUAUAUCUUGUUCAUUUACGAUGAAUCCGCUUUAUUGAAGGGCGGAUGCCGGUAAGUUGAGAGUGGCGGCUUCAUUUUCUUGUUUAACACUUUCUAACUCAAAAUUUUGGACCAUCUAAUUCUUUAUUAUUUGCAUUUUUAAUUUUAUCCUUGUGAAUUUUAUUUUAUUGAAUAUACGUAAAACCUCUUAUUAAUAUUUAAUUUUAGGUCACCAUUUUCGUGAGCCGCCUGUUGCAGUUACAUUAGUCCUACCUAUGAUUUUGAAGUAUUUGGAUGCGUUUUCUUUUUAUCUCAUAUGUUCCGAAUCAGGUUACUCCUGCAAAUAUAGAGAUUCAGGAAUUUCUGCUAUAUAUAAAAAGGAUGAUUUAGGAUGAUCAAGGGCAAUAUCGUAAAUUCACACUAAGUAGUAUAUAUCUUCAUUCAAGACGUUGGAACCAUCAAUAUCCUUAGUUCCAGAAAAAUCCAUGAUUCACCGACUGACUCUCUUUCAUCUUCACUCUUCAGGUAUAUUAGCAAUUGCAGGUUCAAAUUGGGUCUCCGGAGGGUUCAACGUUAGCGCUUCCAAAUGCUUCAUGACUCAAAACUUCUCUUAAUUUUCUUCACUGUCAAUGAACUAUUUUCAUUCCUUCCAUCUUUAUAGCGGGUUACAAUUAUAGAUAGAGUGAUCGGAAGACGAAAGCGUAUCUUUGCUUCAAGAAGUUGUAUAACUAUGUCGAAUUGUCCUCUCCUUUGGUACCAACUGCAAUUAACCUCUGUUUUGUUUAUUAUAUUCAGUAAGUAUUCUCUUUCUCCAUGUUACUUUCUUGCUCCAUGUUCUGUUCUUCCGUAUUAGGUCUGCGGUAAUUUUUUUUUAAUUUAAGGGGUCAUAUGAUUUUUUUAAAUGCCGAAAGAGAGUGGUUUAUAGUUGCAUUUGAAGGGAGGUAAUGCUCUACAUGGUGAAUAAUUAGGAGUGAUAGAGGCAUCUUUGAAUUUAUGGGUCUCCUUGAAUAUUUUCUGUUUAGUUUGUCGAAAUUUCACUCCAACACACAAUGUAUUUGAUUUAAUUCACAAGAAAAAAUCUUAGCAAGUAUAUAUCAUGUGAUAAGUCAUUAUUUCACCCAAGGUGCUCAAGCAAAAAAGAGUAUAAUUAGAGCAUAUGACAAUUAAAUCAAUUGUAAGUUUUGAAACAAGCGACAAUUAAUUUGCUUAAGAAAAAAAUUAAAUAGUCCAUGAAUAGUCUCAUUCUAUAAUAAUUGGCACAUAGGAGUUGAACUGAAGCCUUAAUUCAUAUUUAUGAAUCUAUAUUAAAGAAUCCUCAAUAAAAAGUUAAAUUAGAUCGACUAACGAUGAAGCAAAUCAUCUACAAGCUGCACAACCAAUGAGAAAUUCAAGUUGAAAGAGGAAAAAAAUAGACAAUCAACCAAACUCUUGCCUAGCUAGCAUGAGAAAGGUUCAACUCCUAUUUCGAUUGAGCAAUGGAGCAAUCAAGGGUACAAAAGUCUAUCUUGUGAUUUUUAUCUCCAGGUGUUCUCUCUAGAUUUCUCCAAUUACUUUCUUUCUUGCCGAUUUUCUUCUGCAAAGAAAACUGUAGUUAUAAGAAUAAACACAAUUGCUGGCAGUGGGGCAAUUUCACUUUUUUUUGGUGUUUGAGAAUCUUUCUACAAGUUAAAAAGCAAUACCGUCAAAUUCUAAUGAAACAAGGUAUUCCUUUUCUUAAUUUUAGUUCCUAUUUUUUUCUUACUUUAUAGUUGUUCGUAGAUUUUGUUAGCUUUUUAUGAUAGUAAUUGUUAUGGGUAACUAUAGAUUUUUAUAAGCAACUUAUGUGGGAAUUGUAAUGGAUUACCUCAAAAUUGAAAAUGAGAUUGUACUGGUGACUUACAAAAGAAAUGGUCCUGCAUUUAAAUGCCUUUAUGGUACCUCUCCGCGAUCUCCUUGAAAAUAUUCUUUUAACUAAUUUUUUAAGCCUGUCUUUUGUUUUUUAUCCCUUUUUAGAUCUUUCAUUUAAAUUUAAAAUUUUGUUGGUGAUUUGAUCUUCUUUGAAGUAAAAUCUGGUAAAACUUGAUCUUGAUAUAUUACUAUGUGAAUGGAUGAAUUACUUGAAACUAUGUUGCGGGAAGACAUAAACUGUUAUUGUUGUAGUCAAUUGUAAGUUGUUUAUGAAUGUAUUUGCUUUCUAAUUUUGCAAUUUUGUCUCUUUGUCAAACAAUUUUUUACUUAUUGAUGUUCAUGUGAUUGUAGUUUCAGACACGUUGAGAUUAACGACAUGCUGAGUGAUGUUAGUAAGCCGGUUCGCUUACUUCAACUGAUCUGCAUCUUGGUGGCACAAAAUACAUGGUCAUUCAAGAAGAAGUAAAAAGACCGAAAAUUGCUUAGCGUGGACAAAUGAACACUGUAUUACCGAGUCAAGCUCAAAGAGAGGUUGUAUUAGAAUAUGAUGCUUUUGAGGAUGCUCGAGCAAAAGGAGAAAGACAACUAACAAUAUAGUCAAUCGGUCGCAAAUCUUAUUUGAAGGUUCAUAUAAGAAAGUAUCACCGGUGAGACAUUCUUAAACCUAAAGUACAAGGGAACAAACCACAUGCGUGAUAAAGUGGCCAGUCAAUGAUAAAUGCUCUCAUUCGAAAUUUCAGCAUGUGGUAUAAUGAAGUAGGAGUUAUAAAACUGCUCACAGGUAUUCUAGGCACCAUGUUGGAUUUAUUACCCUUUCAAUAACUUACAUCCUCCUGCCUUUACAUACUUCUUGACAUUGCAAGUUAUUUCUAUUUAGUAUAUUGUUUCUUCCUAUUUUUUUUAGUUGGUCAUAUGCUUGUAAUUGUUUCUGUUAUAAAGCUUUUGAUGUUACAUUAUGAUGGAUAGCUUCUCAGAUUUUGCACAAAGUAUGUUCUUGAUAAAUAAAAUGCUCUUCUUUUCUAAUGUAUCUCAAUUUUUUGCAAGACUCAAUGUGGAUGAGAAAAGAAAUUGGAGAUACAUUUAGGACCAAAGUCAUCCCAUGGAUGACCCCCACAGUAGUACAAUGAGCUAUAUUAAUUGUACAUUAAAGUGCUGUACUUUUUCAUUAAGUAUCUAUUGGAGACUGAAUGAUCACUUCAUGUGGCUUUUACUGUAGUUGGACCAAUAUAGCUCUAGAAUUAUUUCUAUCAUCGCACGCGUAUCUUCAUUCUUCUUUGGACUUUCAGAAAUUACUCUCACUUAAUUUUCUCUUUAAGUAUGCUCCUUUAAUUCAAGCCCUAAAUUUUCCGAUUCACUUUUCCUUCGUCUCAUGUACAAUUCGUGUAACGUGAGCUUUUAUGUCAUUAGAGAGAUUUUCUAAUAAUUGUUGGUAAAAGGGUAAUUCAUUGAAUGAGAAUAAAAAGGUGUUUGGAUGAAUCAGCUAAAUAGAAGCUCGAGGUUUGAUUCAACGUGUUGGAAUUUGACAUAGAUGAUUUAACGACUUAAAAAGAAGUCAGAUUAGAAAUACAAUUAUGUGUUUUCACAAUUUGAGAUGACGUUGUGUGCUACUGCUUGCUGAGUAUUUGUGUUGAUAAAAGCAAACACUUACACUGGUCAGCAGGGGAUGGAGUUGCUUUCGAACCGCUUGGUGGGAAUAUUAUGGUAUAACCUCUUCAAUUUCUGUAUUUUUAUUUUUUUAUGUAUUUAUAUUACAUUAAUUAGCCGAGGACAUGGAACAGUUACAGCUCACCGAGGACAUGACCCUAGAUAGGAAGGUCUGGAAGACGCGAAUUACGGCAGAAGAGUAGGGCCAGAUUGGGUCGCUAGUGUAGGGAAUUACCUGUUAUGAUUCCGUAUUUAGUGUUCCAUGCUUAUUACGAAUCUGUGUGCUUUCCUCUGCUUUCCUCUGUUUUAUAUUCCUUAUGGGUGCCGUAUUUAUGUUAUGUCAUCUGCUUCUGUGCUUUACUAUGUGUUUGUGUGAUAUCUUGUGCCUGAGCCGGGGGUCUUUCGGAAACAGCCUUUCUACUUCAUCAGAGGUAGAGGUAUGGACUGCGUACAUCUUACCCCCCCAGACCCCACUAAGUGGGAAUACACUGGGUUUGUUGUUGUUUGUAUAUUACAUUAAUUAGCCAAAGGUUGAUUCUUUAUAUAUAACUCCUUUGAAAUUGAUUUCUUUUUAGGUUUUAGUCAGAUGAUAAUUUCAUAAUCACCAAUUGCAAAAUUCUGAUGAACAUUUGGCUCAGUAUUUAUGCUGAUAAAAGUGAAUGCUUAUACUGGUUUGUGUAGGGAUGGAGUUGCUUUCGAACUGAUUGACGGGAAUGGUAUAACACCUUCAGAAAGAUGAGAAUUUUUGUGGAAUCAGCGGAUGGAUCGUUAUGAACUUGAAGAGUACACAUGUUGGUUGGACCUCUCUGGCACCAAAGUCAUCUCACUAUCUAGAAGUCUACGAAGCCUGUUUUUGUCCAUGCAAUUUUUGUCGGUGUGCAAUUUUUACUCUCUAUUUUUGUUUUAGAAAGAUGCACAUUCAAGAAAUAAAUGCACAAAUUAUUUAAAUCA